GACGAACGCUGGCGGCGUGCUUAACACAUGCAAGUCGAACGGAAAGGCCCUGCUUUUGUGGGGUGCUCGAGUGGCGAACGGGUGAGUAACACGUGAGUAACCUGCCCUUGACUUUGGGAUAACUUCAGGAAACUGGGGCUAAUACCGGAUAGGAGCUCCUGCUGCAUGGUGGGGGUUGGAAAGUUUCGGCGGUUGGGGAUGGACUCGCGGCUUAUCAGCUUGUUGGUGGGGUAGUGGCUUACCAAGGCUUUGACGGGUAGCCGGCCUGAGAGGGUGACCGGCCACAGUGGGACUGAGAUACGGCCCAGACUCCUACGGGAGGCAGCAGUGGGGAAUAUUGCACAAUGGGCGGAAGCCUGAUGCAGCAACGCCGCGUGCGGGAUGACGGCCUUCGGGUUGUAAACCGCUUUCGCCUGUGACGAAGCGUGAGGGACGGUAAUGGGUAAAGAAGCACCGGCUAACUACGUG
RNAcentral lists this ribosomal RNA (468 nucleotides) under uncultured bacterium. RNAcentral's name for it is "partial 16S ribosomal RNA". It matches the Rfam family "Bacterial small subunit ribosomal RNA", at positions 28 to 507 of the family's 1533-position model. The record is from RNAcentral.